GCAUAAUCAUUAGUCUUUUAAUUGAAGGCUGGUAUGAAUGGCGGGAUGAGGUAUUAACUGUCUCUUUUUAAUUAAUUUUGAAUUUAAUUUUUUAGUCAAAAAGCUAAAAUAUAAUUGAAAGACGAGAAGACCCUAUAGAUCUUUACAUGAAUUUUUAUUUUUAAAUUUAAUUAAUUAAAAUUAAAGAAUAGUGUUUUGUUGGGGUGACAGGAAGAUAAAAUAAACUCUUCGUUUAAUGAACUAUAAAUACAUAAUUACAUGAUCCGUUUUUAACGAUUAAAAGUCUAAGUUACCUUAGGGAUAACAGCGUAAUUCUUUUUGAGAGUUCUAAUCGACAAAAGAGUUUGCGACCUCGAUGUUGGACUAAGAAAAUUCCCAGGUGUAGAAGUUUGGGGGCUAAGUCUGUUCGACUUUUGAAUUCUUACAU
Molecule: ribosomal RNA, 427 nt
Filed under: Homoeoneuria watu
Lineage: Eukaryota; Metazoa; Arthropoda; Insecta; Ephemeroptera; Oligoneuriidae
Description: partial 16S ribosomal RNA
Rfam family: Bacterial large subunit ribosomal RNA
Source: RNAcentral